UUUUUUCCUUUUUUUUUUUUUUUUUUUUUUUUUCAUUGAACAACAGCAUUUGAUUAAGAAGCAAAUGGAAACAUGGCUGUCCCUCUUUCUUAUCUCAUUUGGGCUCUAACUACAUUUAAAUUAAUGACAAUGUCCAAAUUGGCUGUGGUAGCGUAGCACCAGCCGCUCACUGAAAGGGAUGAAUGUGAGAUCAGCACUUCAGAAAAGGAAAAUCAGCACAUCCAUCAUGCGUUAGACCCUCAGCAUUCAGCAUAACAACAGAAAAUAUUUAUGCAAUAAAUAUCACUAAAGUUUUGCUUUGAUAUAUCUAAAGAUUGCUUGAAAACAGCUAAUUAGUUCUGCAUUUCUCAGACCGUGAGGCACAGUGCUCUGGCUAUGCACUGGUAACGAGGGACGAGGCAUUCUCCACCUCAGACUUGGAUGACAUACAUUAUGAUGAAACUUGGAGAUCCUUAACUGAGCCAGCCCUUGUGGGAAAUGAAGCAUGACUAAAAGGGUCAGAAGGCACUGAGUUUUCUCACUUGAGACAAUCUAUUAAUGUUUAUAAUCCACUACAUAAAAUAUGAGAAAUAAUGUUGCUAAGGACAGAAGUACAAGGUUUGCCCUCUGCCAGAAUCCCAGUUUCUCUAAAUGAGCAGCUAUCUGUGCAAGAACAACUUAAAGUGACAGGAAAAAAAUGACCCACCAGUCCUGGGGAAAGAACUCCAUCGCUCUGAAGGGUCAGAGGGAUACGUGAGCCCUGCAAGCACUGCUAGCAGGCUGGAGGAGGACAACGAGGACCCUCAAGGAGUGUGUGAUGCGGGCAUGAGGAAGCAGCGUGGAGUAUGGCAUAGUUUGAGGUGAAGAGAGGCCUGCUUGCUCUGCAGUGCA
Molecule: long non-coding RNA, 870 nt
Filed under: Anas platyrhynchos platyrhynchos (common mallard)
Lineage: Eukaryota; Metazoa; Chordata; Aves; Anseriformes; Anatidae
Description: lncRNA (ENSAPLG00000022789.1)
Source: RNAcentral